UUCACCCAUUAUUCUGAGUAUUUUUUUAGUAGUCGACUUUGAGAAAGGUGAUUUAAUUUCUUUUCAGAUCUACGAAACAAACGGUAUUUUUUUCUCAAAGCAAAGAAGGAGAAAGGUUUGGAGGAAAAUAUGGCACCGAAGAAAACGACAGAGAAAGGUUACUCUGGAUCGGUGAAUGCAUGUGUCGUCAUGUCUGGAAAAAGAAGAUAUGUAGAAAAUUAUAGUAUAGUAAAUAUUUUUAGUGCAACUAUUUAUGUAAGAUUACUAUAGUAUUUCAGAUAUAGUAUCUUCUCACUUUUGUAUUUUUAUACUAUUUCUAUGAAAAUGAACAAUCUGCUAUGAUCUUCAAUUUCGAUAUUUCUCUUUUUUUUGUCGUGUUCAUCCAUCAAUAAUAAACUAGUUUCAUGUUC
Raphanus sativus (radish) is the source of this 410-nucleotide long non-coding RNA. RefSeq lists it as uncharacterized. The record is from RefSeq and is a predicted model, not a curated record. The transcript is spliced from 2 exons. NCBI's taxonomy places the organism in Eukaryota, Viridiplantae, Streptophyta, Magnoliopsida, Brassicales, Brassicaceae.